CCCUUAGAUGUUCUGGGCCGCACGCGUGCUACACUGAGUGGAUCAGCGGGUCAGGUUGCGCGAAAGCGUUUCCUAAUCUUUAAAUCCGCUCGUGAUGGGGAUUGACGGUUGCAAUUUUCUGUCAUGAACGAGGAAUACCUUGUAAGCGCGGGUCAUCAUCCCGCGCUGAAUACGUCCCUGCCCUUUGUACACACCGCCCGUCGCUCCUACCGAUUGGAUGGUCCGGUGAAGCCUCGGGAUUGUGGUUCUUGCCGCUUUAUUGUGGAGUGACCGCGAGAACUUGUCUAAACCUUAUCAUCUAGAGGAAGGUGAAGUCGUAACA
RNAcentral lists this ribosomal RNA (322 nucleotides) under uncultured eukaryote. Its description in RNAcentral is "partial 18S ribosomal RNA". It matches the Rfam family "Eukaryotic small subunit ribosomal RNA", at positions 1470 to 1796 of the family's 1831-position model. The record is from RNAcentral.